Molecule: ribosomal RNA, 466 nt
Filed under: Vreelandella stevensii
Lineage: Bacteria; Pseudomonadati; Pseudomonadota; Gammaproteobacteria; Oceanospirillales; Halomonadaceae
Description: partial 16S ribosomal RNA
Rfam family: Bacterial small subunit ribosomal RNA
Source: RNAcentral
CCUACGGGUGGCUGCAGUGGGGAAUAUUGGACAAUGGGGGCAACCCUGAUCCAGCCAUGCCGCGUGUGUGAAGAAGGCCCUCGGGUUGUAAAGCACUUUCAGUGAGGAAGAACGCCUGGUGGUUAAUACCCAUCAGGAAAGACAUCACUCACAGAAGAAGCACCGGCUACACUCCGUGCCAGCAGCCGCGGUAAUACGGAGGGUGCGAGCGUUAAUCGGAAUUACUGGGCGUAAAGCGCGCGUAGGUGGCUUGAUAAGCCGGUUGUGAAAGCCCCGGGCUCAACCUGGGAACGGCAUCCGGAACUGUCAAGCUAGAGUGCAGGAGAGGAAGGUAGAAUUCCCGGUGUAGCGGUGAAAUGCGUAGAGAUCGGGAGGAAUACCAGUGGCGAAGGCGGCCUUCUGGACUGACACUGACACUGAGGUGCGAAAGCGUGGGUAGCAAACAGGAUUAGAUACCCCAGUAGUC